Molecule: unclassified non-coding RNA, 303 nt
Filed under: uncultured Sordariomycetes
Lineage: Eukaryota; Fungi; Ascomycota; Sordariomycetes
Description: sequence contains ITS1
Rfam family: 5.8S ribosomal RNA (bases 1-105)
Source: RNAcentral
GAAAUGCGAUAAGUAAUGUGAAUUGCAGAAUUCAGUGAAUCAUCGAAUCUUUGAACGCACAUUGCGCCCGCCAGUACUCUGGCGGGCAUGCCUGUUCGAGCGUCAUUUCAACCCUCAGGCCCCGCCUGGUGUUGGGGCCCUACGGCUGCCGUAGGCCCUGAAAGGAAGUGGCGGGCUCGCUGCAACUCCGAGCGUAGUAAUUCUUUUUCUCGCUAGGGAAGGGUGGCGUGCUCCUGCCGUUAAAGACCCCAUCUUUAACCAAAGGUUGACCUCGGAUCAGGUAGGAAUACCCGCUGAACUUAA